CAUAUUGUACCCGUACCGUAAACCGACACAGGUGGAUGAGGAGAGAAUCCUAAGGCCGGCGGAAGAAGUAUUGCCAAGGAACUCGGCAAAAUGGCCCCGUAACUUAGGGAGAAGGGGUGCCUGCGAGAGCAGGCCGCAGAGAAUAGGCUCAAGCAACUGUUUAGCAAAAACACAGGUCUAUGCGAAACCGAAAGGUGAGGUAUAUGGGCUGACGCCUGCCCGGUGCUGGAAGGUUAAGAGGAGAGGUUAGACGUAAGUCGAAGCUUUGAAUUUAAGCCCCAGUAAACGGCGGCCGUAACGAUAACGGUCCUAAGGUAGCGAAAUUCCUUGUCGGGUAAGUUCCGACCCGCACGAAAGGCGUAAUGAUUUGAGCGCUGUCUCGGCAAUACAUCCGGUGAAAUUGAAGUGCCAGUGAAGAUGCUGGCUACCCGCGCCAGGACGGAAAGACCCCAUGGAGCUUUACUCCAGUUUGGCACUGGGGUCCGGUGUUGCAAGUACAGGAUAGGUGGGAGGCUGAGAAACGGUAACGUCAGUUGCCGCGGAGCCGCUGUUGGGAUACCACCCUUGUGAUAUUGGGCUUCUAACCAGCCGCCGUAAACCGGCGGUGGGACAAUGCCAGGCGGGGAGUUUGACUGGGGCGGUCGCCUCCGAAAGGGUAUCGGAGGCGCCCAAAGGUUCCCUCAGAAUGGACGGAAACCAUUCGAAGAGUGCAAAGGCAGAAGGGAGCUUGACUGCGACACCGACGGGUGGAGCAGGUACGAAAGUAGGGCUUAGUGAUCCGGUGGUAUUAAGUGGGAAUGCCAUCGCUCAACGGAUAAAAGCUACCCUGGGAUAACAGGCUUAUCACUCCCAAGAGUUCACAUCGACGGAGUGGUUUGGCACCUCGAUGUUGCUCAUCGCAUCCUGGGGCUGUAGUAGGUCCCAAGGGUUGGGCUGUUCGCCCAUUAAAGCGGUACGCGAGCUGGGUUCAGAACGUCGUGAGACAGUUCGGUCCCUAUCCGGCGUGGGCGUAGGAUAUCUGAGAGGAGCUGUCCUUAGUACGAGAGGACCGGGAUGGACGGACCGCUGGUGGACCGGUUGGCUUGCCAAAGCCAUGGCCGGGUAGCCAAGUCCGGAAGGGAUAAACGCUGAAGGCAUCUAAGCGUGAAGCCCCCCUCAAGAUGAGAUAUCCCAUUCUUAUGAAGUAAACCCCCUUGAAGACGACGAGGUAGAUAGGGCAGAGGUGGAAGUGUGGUAACACAUGGAGCUGACUGUUACUAAUCGGGUGAGGGCUUGACCG
This 1279-nucleotide ribosomal RNA is filed under the name metagenome. Its description in RNAcentral is "bacterial LSU rRNA". It matches the Rfam family "Bacterial large subunit ribosomal RNA", at positions 1632 to 2925 of the family's 2925-position model. The record is from RNAcentral.